CCUACGGGAGGCAGCAGUGGGGGAUAUUGGACAAUGGGGGAAACCCUGAUCCAGCGACGCCGCGUGAGUGAAGAAGUAUUUCGGUAUGUAAAGCUCUGUCAGCAGGGAAGAAAGAAAUGACGGUACCUGCCCAAGAAGCCCCGGCUAACUACGUGCCAGCAGCCGCGGUAAUCCGUCGGGGGCAAGCGUUAUCCGGAAUUACUGGGUGUAAAGGGGGCGUAGACGGGGAUGCAGGUCUGGAGUUAAAGGCGGGGGCCCAACACCCGGACUGCUAUGGAAACUGUGUAACUUGAGUGCAGGAGAGGUAAGCGGAAUGCCUAGUGUAGCGGUGAAAUGCGUAGAUAUUAGGAGGAACACCAGUGGCGAAGGCGGCUUACUGGACUGUAACUGACGUUGAGGCUCGAAAGCGUGGGGAGCAAACAGGAUUAGAUACCCGGGUAGUC
Molecule: ribosomal RNA, 443 nt
Filed under: uncultured bacterium
Lineage: Bacteria
Description: partial 16S ribosomal RNA
Rfam family: Bacterial small subunit ribosomal RNA
Source: RNAcentral